RNAcentral lists this ribosomal RNA (490 nucleotides) under uncultured bacterium. RNAcentral describes it as "partial 16S ribosomal RNA". It matches the Rfam family "Bacterial small subunit ribosomal RNA", at positions 30 to 507 of the family's 1533-position model. The record is from RNAcentral.
AUUGAACGCUGGCGGCAGGCCUAACACAUGCAAGUCGAACGGUAACAGGAAACAGCUUGCUGUUUCGCUGACGAGUGGCGGACGGGUGAGUAAUGUCUGGGAAACUGCCUGAUGGAGGGGGAUAACUACUGGAAACGGUAGCUAAUACCGCAUAACGUCGCAAGACCAAAGAGGGGGACCUUCGGGCCUCUUGCCAUCGGAUGUGCCCAGAUGGGAUUAGCUAGUAGGUGGGGUAACGGCUCACCUAGGCGACGAUCCCUAGCUGGUCUGAGAGGAUGACCAGCCACACUGGAACUGAGACACGGUCCAGACUCCUACGGGAGGCAGCAGUGGGGAAUAUUGCACAAUGGGCGCAAGCCUGAUGCAGCCAUGCCGCGUGUAUGAAGAAGGCCUUCGGGUUGUAAAGUACUUUCAGCGGGGAGGAAGGGAGUAAAGUUAAUACCUUUACUCAUUGACGUUACCCGCAGAAGAAGCACCGGCUAACUCCGUA